Molecule: RNA transcript, 800 nt
Organism: Zea mays
Lineage: Eukaryota; Viridiplantae; Streptophyta; Magnoliopsida; Poales; Poaceae
Exons: 2
Source: RefSeq, marked validated
GGCAGCUCCGCCAUGAAGCCAGCCAUCCAUGGCGGGCCCUGGCCCUGGCCCUGGCCCCGGCACCUCUGAUCAAUGCAGCCGUGGGCACGGCCGGUCGAGCCGCGCAGCCGGUGAUCCGGUGAACAGUGCCACGGAUCUCGGAUUGAUUGCGGGUAGUAAUCGAUUCGAUCGAGCGCGCUGCGUUUCGUGUGGCUCCUCGCCGCUCAGCUGAAUAGCUGAUCUGAUCAGCCGCGACGCCGCAGCAGCAUGCAUCCCUGGUGGCUCGCGCGCACGUGACUCGGGGCCGGGGUGCCCUACACGGUAUCGACACGCCAUUACUCGGUGUCGGGUUUUCUGACCGUGAUCGGUGAUGAGGUGCAAAAUUGCUUGUUCGUGCUGCCAACGCAAGGAUGGAUAAGCAGAUUACGGGCUCUGAGGAUGCUGAAAGUGGUGAUGCUCCAUCUCAGGAUGAUGCUGAAUGAAUCUACGGUGAACUAAGGUGUGGUUGAUCCUUGUCUGUUUGUUACGAGAGAUGAAUCUUUUGGUGCAUGGUAGAUCGAGUUGAUCCUGUUCUGGCGUGAACAAUCUCCUGGUGUAAUUAAUCCUGGUCGCCUUGGUUAAUCCUUGGCAAACUACGAUUGAUGUUCGCUGGAUUUCCCUUAGGACGACAAAUCCGAAUCAGGUCGCUACUGCCGUGCAAUUCCUGCUAUGCAUGUGUCUCUGUCUGAACUCUCUGUAUUUCUGCUACGUGAGUAGUAGUAACAGAAAUGGGGAUGUCCUCUGUUAAAAUAAAUAAAUAAAUUGAGACAAGUAUUUUUGGU